This 89-nucleotide transfer RNA is filed under the name Variovorax sp. WDL1. RNAcentral describes it as "tRNA-Ser". It matches the Rfam family "tRNA". Rfam says of the family: Transfer RNA (tRNA) molecules are approximately 80 nucleotides in length. Their secondary structure includes four short double-helical elements and three loops (D, anti-codon, and T loops). Further hydrogen bonds mediate the characteristic L-shaped molecular structure. tRNAs have two regions of fundamental functional importance: the anti-codon, which is responsible for specific mRNA codon recognition, and the 3' end, to which the tRNAs corresponding amino acid is attached (by aminoacyl-tRNA synthetases). tRNAs cope with the degeneracy of the genetic code in two manners: having more than one tRNA (with a specific anti-codon) for a particular amino acid; and 'wobble' base-pairing, i.e. permitting non-standard base-pairing at the 3rd anti-codon position. RNAcentral also lists the same sequence under 1 other name. The record is from RNAcentral. Lineage: Bacteria; Pseudomonadati; Pseudomonadota; Betaproteobacteria; Burkholderiales; Comamonadaceae.
GGAAGUGUGCUCGAGAGGCCUAUGAGGGCUGUUUGCUAAACAGCUGGCCGUCGCAAGACGGCCCGGGGGUUCGAAUCCCUCCACUUCCG